AAAACAGACAGAGUGGAUACAUACUGGGCCCUUCUCCUGCCCCCACCUAUGCUGCAAGCAACCAAGACCCUGAGAAGAAGACAAGACUCCAACACAGGAGAUAAUAUACAGGGCUUCCAGUUUCCAAAGCUGAGGUGAUGUCCCAGCUGGAACCGGGGGAAGAGGUGUGGGUCUCAGAUCUCCAGGGCCCUGAGGGAAGAGAGAGCCUGAGAGGAACCUGCACAGCUUCUGAGGUUUCUCUCUCUGGCCCAGGAGACGAUGGGAUGGUGAGUGAGAACAAGGAGCAGAAUCCACAGCAGGAAGAUGCUGAGCACGUGGAACUGCAAGGGCGAUUACCAGAAGGAACUCAAGGGAACGUGUCCAGGAGUCGUGAAGAGAGGCAGCAGGGAAACAAAUCAGGGGAGAAAGUGGGUAAAUCCAUCAGCUGUGAGGAAAAUCUCAAGGACCUCAAGGAAACCACAGCCCAGCAGAGAAUCCUCAAGGGAGAGAGAGACAAAACAUGUGCCCUGAGUGUGGGAAAACCUUCUCUUGGCUCUCACACCUUAUUAGACAUCAGAGAAUGCACAAAGGUGUGAGUCCCUGUGAAUGCUAAAACAACGAGGAGUACUUGUGGCAUCUUAGAGACUAACACAUUUAUUUGGGCAUAAGCUUUCGUGGGCUAAAACCCACUUCAUCAGAUGCAUGGAGUGGAAAAUACACUAGGAAGAUAUAUAUACAAAGUACAUGAAAAGAUGGGAGUUGCCUUACCAGUUCUAACGAGACAAUUGAAUUUAAAGUGGGCUAUUAUCAGCAGGAGGAAAAAUCACUUUUGUAGUGGUAAUUAGGGUGGCACAUUUCAAACAGUUGACAAGAAGGUGUGAGUAACAGUAGGGGGAAAAAUUAACACGGGGAAAUAGUUUCUAGUUUGUGUAAUGACCCAUCCACUCCCAGCCUUUAUUCAGGCCUAAUUUGAUCGUGUCCAGUUUGCAAAUUAAUUCCAGUUCUGCAGUUUCUCAUUGGAGUCUGUUUUUGAAGUUUUUUUGUUGAAGAAUUGCCACUGUUAAGUCUGUAAUGAAGCAUCCAGGGAGGUUGAAGUGUUCUUCGACUGGUUUUUGAAUGUUUUAAUUCUUGACAUUUGAUUUGUGUCCCUUUAUUCUUUUGCGUAGAGACUCUAAGAUACAACCGCAUUUGCUCCAAUCCCUCAGACAGAGACAAAUACUUACACAAUCUCUAUCAAGUGUUCUUAAAACUACAACACCCACCUGCUGAAGUGAAGAAACCGAUUGACAGAACCAGAAAAGUACCCAAAAGAAGUCACCUACUACAGGAUAGGCCCAACAAAGAAAGUAACAGACUACCACUAGCCGUCACCUACAGCCCCCAACUAGAAACCUCUCCAGUGCAUCAUCGAGGAUCUGCAACCUAUCCUGAAGGAUGGUCCCUCACUCUCACAGACCUUGGGAGACAGGCCCCCAACCUGAAGCAAAUACUCACCAGCAAUGACACACCACACAACAAAACCACUAAUCCAGGAACCUAUCCUUGCAACAUACCCCAUUGCCAACUCUGUCCACAUAUCUAUUCAAGGGACACCAUCAUAGGAUCUAAUCACAUUAGCCACGCCAUCAGGGGCUUGUUCACCUGCACAUCUACCAAUGUGCUAUAUGCCAUCAUGUGCCAGCAAUGACCUCUGCCAUGUACAUUGGCCAAACCGGACAGUCUCUAUGCAAAAGAAUAAAUGGACACAAAUCAGAUGAGAUCAGUCGGGCGGAGAAUU
Caretta caretta (loggerhead turtle) is the source of this 1756-nucleotide long non-coding RNA. RefSeq lists it as uncharacterized. Lineage: Eukaryota; Metazoa; Chordata; Testudines; Cheloniidae. The record is from RefSeq and is a predicted model, not a curated record.